RNAcentral lists this unclassified non-coding RNA (349 nucleotides) under soil metagenome. Its description in RNAcentral is "partial contains 5.8S ribosomal RNA, internal transcribed spacer 2, and large subunit ribosomal RNA". The stretch from base 1 to 120 matches the Rfam family "5.8S ribosomal RNA", at positions 35 to 154 of the family's 154-position model. The record is from RNAcentral.
GAUGAAGAACGUAGCGAAAUGCGAUAAGUAAUGUGAAUUGCAGAAUUCAGUGAAUCAUCGAAUCUUUGAACGCACAUUGCGCCCCCUGGUAUUCCGGGGGGCAUGCCUGUUCGAGCGUCAUUUCAACCCUCAAGCUCUGCUUGGUAUUGGGCGUCGCCGGGGAGUCUCCCCGGCGUGCCUCAAAGCCAUCGGCGGUGGUGCCUUUCUCUAAGCGUGGUAGAAUUUUUAUUCGCUUCUGAGUUGGACUUCGCCUGCCGGACAAACCGGGCCCUCGCGGCCCACCUUCUCAGGUUGACCUCGGAUCAGGUAGGGAUACCCGCUGAACUUAAGCAUAUCAAUAAGCGGAGGA